Phlebotomus papatasi is the source of this 1026-nucleotide long non-coding RNA. RefSeq lists it as uncharacterized. Lineage: Eukaryota; Metazoa; Arthropoda; Insecta; Diptera; Psychodidae. The transcript has 2 exons. The record is from RefSeq and is a predicted model, not a curated record.
UUGUCUCUUUAUUGGAAUUUCAGGAAAUAAUUGUCAGCCACACGUUUAGACUCUUUCCAACCGAUAGCAAAUUCUCCAAGCAUUAUCUCAAAUUGUGGAGAGUAAACAGCCUGGAUUUCAUGUAAUGAGUCAUUGGCUGAGGCAUAAGUCUGGAGAGAGGGAAGAGUUUGCGAAGGGUUUUCUGAAAAAUUUUGGAAGCUACUUCAGUUGAUCUCUGAGACUAUUUCUGAGUGGCCAGCAUCACCAGAGUGAUCAUGGAGAGAGAGCGGAUUCCCCUUUUAAGUGCUUACAUUGUGGAAGUUGUGCCAAAUGGUCAUGAUAUUAGUGUUUCAAGUGAUGAAGACGAAAUUCGACAGGUUCUCACCCUGGAUGAAGUAACCUACUACAGUCAUCAUCCUGGCUGGUCAAUAUUCCGGAGAUUCCUCUUCAUUUCCGUAUGGAUCAUCUUCAUUACAUUGCUGGUACUCUCAUGGUCUUCCGCCAUUCUGCACUUCCGUCAAUAUUGCCCAUAUCGUCAGGUCAACAGCAGUGACAAUUUUCAUAAAUAAAAUGAACCUAAUAUCACUUAAUAAGCAUACGGGCGUCGAUGUUGAGUCUUAAAAAAAAAUGUUGUAUUUAAUUAAUCAAUAAGCGUGUGAAUAAUGCGAUAAGGAGUUGCACGGUAAGUCCCCUCAAGAAUAAGUGAAAAGCGUGCAAUUGCAGUAAAUCACAAGAUAGUGAUGAUGUCAAUUGGGAAAAUCUGAAGAGCCCCACUGAAGAAUGUUUCACCAGAAAUAAGUAAAAUUCUCGAUGGAAAAAUACUGUCGAGAAGCAAAACUUGAGACAAAUGUAAGAUAGAGGCUCUAGAUGAAUCAACGAACGUAAAUAUUUUGUAGAUAAGGAGUUUGUGAAAGUGAAAUGCAUAUCAUAAUCUCUCAACAGAAGACUUUAACUUUUCGCAAGUUAUUGUUCCUGAAAGGCCGUAUUUAAAAAAAAGACAACAAGAAACUUCGAAAAAAAUAUACGAUUUUUUACUUAUCAGAAAAA